GUAUUAGAUGCGUAUUAUCGCAAGUAAACAUUCUGAACUUUUUUAUAAUGUAUGUAAAUACGUGGGACGGCAUCUCAGGUCGUUUCCAACCCGUCAACCAGAACCACAACAGGUGCACAGGUGUAGAUGGAUGAGCAGGGCUGAGCACAUGCCUCGGAAGGCCAGCAUCAAACCCCUUUCAAACUCGUUAAUGAUCCUUCCGCAGGUUCACCUACGGAAA
This 220-nucleotide unclassified non-coding RNA is filed under the name uncultured fungus. RNAcentral's name for it is "sequence contains ITS1". The record is from RNAcentral. Lineage: Eukaryota; Fungi.